AAGUCGUAACAAGGUAACCGUAGGUGAACCUGCGGUUGGAUCAUUAAUGAAAUGUUUCUAAAACCCGAGGGUCAGUUCUUUCACUAGGACUUUCCCUUAUCAACCCAUAUAGAGUGGUUGUUGGGCCUUGGCCCAAUGGUCGCUUUAUAAACACAUUUAUACCAAAGACUUUUUCAUAAAAAGACUUUUUGAUUUAGAGCUUGCUCUAGAGAGAUGAGACUAUAUAAAGAAAAACAACUUUUGACAACGGAUCUCUUGGCUCUC
This 264-nucleotide unclassified non-coding RNA is filed under the name fungal sp. RNAcentral's name for it is "partial internal transcribed spacer region". The stretch from base 1 to 46 matches the Rfam family "Eukaryotic small subunit ribosomal RNA", at positions 1786 to 1831 of the family's 1831-position model. The record is from RNAcentral. Lineage: Eukaryota; Fungi. RNAcentral also lists the same sequence under 1 other name.